This is a long non-coding RNA of Herpailurus yagouaroundi (jaguarundi), 987 nucleotides long. RefSeq lists it as uncharacterized. The transcript is spliced from 3 exons. The record is from RefSeq and is a predicted model, not a curated record. Lineage: Eukaryota; Metazoa; Chordata; Mammalia; Carnivora; Felidae.
AUCUCCUUUAAAGAGGACAAAGCUCUUGGGGAUAUGGAAAGUCUGGUUAUGAUUAGCUUCCUUGUACAGAAAUUCUUCAGAUUAGUUGGAGGGUUGUGUUUUUUUUGUCAGAUUUACUGAGAUAUAAUUGACCUAAAAUAAAACUGUACACAUUAAAGUGUACAAUUUGAUGUUUAAACACCCAUGAAACCAACACCCCCAAAAGUUUCCUCUGCCCUUUUAUAAUUCUUUCUUCCUUUCCCCUGCCCACCUCAUCCAUCCCUAGGCAACCACUCAUCUGCUUUCUGCCAGUACAAGUUAGUUUGCAUUUCCUAGAAUUUUAUAUAAAUGGAAGCAUAUGGUAUAUACUUUAUCUGGUCUUAUUUCUUUCACUCAGCAUAAUUAUUUUGGAAUUCAUCCAUGUUCUAUAUAUUGAUAAUUCCAGACCAGUAUAUAUAUUUUUUAAUAAUUUAGCCUACUGAUUUUAUUUGAUAUCUUCUGGUUUUUGUUUGUUUGUUUUUUAAUUUGACAGGCCUGUGGUGGACAGUCUUGGGAAGGAUGAUUGCUAGGUGUGUGAAAGCUCGGGGGAGGCAGGAAGUCUUACCCUGCCUACCUAGACAGGCUUCAAAGUGGAAUUGGUUAAGCCUGUCUUAAUCAUAAUCUUUCUGAGUUACCUGAAUUCUAGUUGCUGUUGUACGCGAGAUACUUACUGAUGAGUUGCCUAAUUAUUGAUGUUUGAGUGGGGUAUGUGGGGAGAAGAGCUUAGGGCAGAUCUGCAUUCUGGUGUUGUUUUGUCUUGUUCCUGAUUUGUACUCUUUCACUUUUACCUUUUUAUUGGAAACGUGUGUCUGUUUCUGUGAUUGACGUGUAAGCCAGUUAUAUAUACAGAAUUUUGGAACUGUAGAAUGGAGGCCUAGCAUCUACUGUAAAUGAAUAGUAAUUUUGAAUACCAACACUUUGUUUUCACAGGACAGGGUCCGUAUUGUAGUUUUAAUUUUCUGUAUUGUA